CACGUAGGGCGCAAGCGUUGUCCGGAAUUAUUGGGCGUAAAGAGCUCGUAGGCGGUCUGUUGCGUCCGCUGUGAAAACUCGGGGCUUAACCCCGAGCCUGCAGUGGAUACGGGCAGACUAGAGGUAGGUAGGGGAGAAUGGAAUUCCCGGUGUAGCGGUGAAAUGCAUAGAUAUCGUCAAGAACACCGAUAGCGAAGGCAGCUUACUGGGCUGUAACUGACGCUGAUGCACGAAAGUGUGGGGAUCAAACAGG
Molecule: ribosomal RNA, 253 nt
Filed under: uncultured bacterium
Lineage: Bacteria
Description: partial 16S ribosomal RNA
Rfam family: Bacterial small subunit ribosomal RNA
Source: RNAcentral